Molecule: ribosomal RNA, 461 nt
Filed under: uncultured bacterium
Lineage: Bacteria
Description: partial 16S ribosomal RNA
Rfam family: Bacterial small subunit ribosomal RNA
Source: RNAcentral
GACGAACGCUGGCGGCGUGCUUAACACAUGCAAGUCGAGCGGAAAGGCCCUUCGGGGUCCUCGAGCGGCGAACGGGUGAGUAACACGUGAGUAACCUGCCCCAGACUUUGGGAUAACCCUCGGAAACGGGGGCUAAUACCGGAUACGACACAGCUUCGCAUGGGGUCUGUGUGGAAAGUUUUUCGGUUUGGGAUGGGCUCGCGGCCUAUCAGCUUGUUGGUGGGGUGAUGGCCUACCAAGGCGACGACGGGUAGCCGGCCUGAGAGGGCGACCGGCCACACUGGGACUGAGACACGGCCCAGACUCCUACGGGAGGCAGCAGUGGGGAAUAUUGCACAAUGGGCGGAAGCCUGAUGCAGCGACGCCGCGUGAGGGAUGACGGCCUUCGGAUUGUAAACCUCUUUCAGCAGGGACGAAGCGUAAGUGACGGUACCUGCAGAAGAAGCGCCGGCCAACUACGU